Molecule: transfer RNA, 72 nt
Organism: Camelus ferus (Wild Bactrian camel)
Lineage: Eukaryota; Metazoa; Chordata; Mammalia; Artiodactyla; Camelidae
Rfam family: tRNA
About the family: Transfer RNA (tRNA) molecules are approximately 80 nucleotides in length.
Source: Rfam
GAGGGUAUAGCUCAGUGGUAGAGUAGGUGCCUCGCAUGCACAAAGUCCUGGGUUCAAUCCCCAGUACCUCCA